Ipomoea nil (Japanese morning glory) is the source of this 431-nucleotide long non-coding RNA. RefSeq lists it as uncharacterized. Lineage: Eukaryota; Viridiplantae; Streptophyta; Magnoliopsida; Solanales; Convolvulaceae. The record is from RefSeq and is a predicted model, not a curated record. The transcript is spliced from 3 exons.
CUACAAUUCAACGAGGGCAAAGGAUUAUGGGUAAUGCUAAUUGGAAAUAUGUGAAGUGUCCUCAACAACCCGGUAGUGAUGAAUGUGGAUACUACGUUAUGAGGUUCAUAUAUGAUAUAUGCACAAAAUUUCAUAACUACACUUCGUUGGAUGAGGCAUAUCAAGACACAAAUGCUUAUUCUAAGGAUGAAAUAGAUGAGAUACGGAAUUUAUGGAUAGACUAUUUUGUAAAUGAGUGCAUAUAAAUGUUUAUUAGGUGCACUAGAUGGAAUUACAUUGUAUAUAUUAUGAUAUAUUAAUGUUGGAUUAUUAUUUUGCGUUAGACAAUUAUGUAUGUUGGAUGAUUAUAUUGUGUUAGACAAUUAUGUAUGUUGGAUUAUAUAUAUUGUGUUGAAUGGUUUGAACCAUAUAAAUGUUGUUUGGUAGUGGAA